Molecule: long non-coding RNA, 366 nt
Organism: Astatotilapia calliptera (eastern happy)
Lineage: Eukaryota; Metazoa; Chordata; Actinopteri; Cichliformes; Cichlidae
Source: Ensembl
GCCAGACAAAGCUUUGCCAGACAGCGAGGUUGCUGUUGAUGGUGCAACUGUCCCAACAGAAGAUAUUACCAUCCCACAACGCAGCACUUCACCAUAUUGGAUCACAAUGACAACUAGUCCCUUUGUGUUCCCCACUGUCUCUCCUUGGUUCACAAUCCCAGAGUAUUUAACUGUCAGUGAACCUGAUGACAUUGAGAAAGCCCAAUCUCAAGGUUCUACGUUCUCCACCAUCAUGUUGACCGGUUUGCCAGAAGGAAACUACAGACAGGAGGAUGUCACCAAGCUGGUGUGGCGUUACGUCCCUGAUCAGACUGUUCAGACUCUGUACUACAAAAUAAUCGUUUUAUCACUGCAGAGGAGGGUGAG